UCCUACGGGAGGCAGCAGUGGGGAAUUUUGGACAAUGGGCGCAAGCCUGAUCCAGCCAUGCCGCGUGCGGGAAGAAGGCCUUCGGGUUGUAAACCGCUUUCGGACAGAAAGAAAUCGCAUGGACUAAUACUCUGUGUGGAUGACGG
This 146-nucleotide ribosomal RNA is filed under the name uncultured bacterium. RNAcentral's name for it is "partial 16S ribosomal RNA". It matches the Rfam family "Bacterial small subunit ribosomal RNA", at positions 337 to 475 of the family's 1533-position model. The record is from RNAcentral.